GAGUAACACGUAAACAACCUGCCUUCAGGAUGGGGACAACAGACGGAAACGACUGCUAAUACCGAAUAAGUUCCAAGAGCCGCAUGGCCCAUGGAAGAAAAGGUGGCCUCUACCUGUAAGCUAUCGCCUGAAGAGGGGUUUGCGUCUGAUUAGCUGGUUGGAGGGGUAACGGCCCACCAAGGCGACGAUCAGUAGCCGGUCUGAGAGGAUGAACGGCCACACUGGAACUGAGACACGGUCCAGACUCCUACGGGAGGCAGCAGUGGGGAAUCUUCCGCAAUGGGCGAAAGCCUGACGGAGCAACGCCGCGUGAGUGAUGACGGCCUUCGGGUUGUAAAACUCUGUGAUCCGGGACGAAAAGGCAGAGUGCGAAGAACAAACUGCAUUGACGGUACCGGAAAAGCAAGCCACGGCUAACUACGUGCCAGCAGCCGCGGUAAUACGUAGGUGGCAAGCGUUGUCCGGAAUUAUUGGGCGUAAAGCGCGCGCAGGCGGCUUCCCAAGUCCCUCUUAAAAGUGCGGGGCUUAACCCCGUGAUGGGAAGGAAACUGGGAAGCCGGAGUAUCGGAGAGGAAAGUGGAAUUCCUAGUGUAGCGGUGAAAUGCGUAGAGAUUAGGAAGAACACCGGUGGCGAAGGCGACUUUCUGGACGAAAACUGACGCUGAGGCGCGAAAGCGUGGGGAGCAAACAGGAUUAGAUACCCUGGUAGUCCACGCCGUAAACGAUGGAUACUAGGUGUAGGAGGUAUCGACCCCUCCUGUGCCGGAG
This 768-nucleotide ribosomal RNA is filed under the name uncultured bacterium. RNAcentral describes it as "bacterial SSU rRNA". It matches the Rfam family "Bacterial small subunit ribosomal RNA", at positions 108 to 851 of the family's 1533-position model. The record is from RNAcentral.